Molecule: ribosomal RNA, 637 nt
Filed under: Trichoderma asperellum
Lineage: Eukaryota; Fungi; Ascomycota; Sordariomycetes; Hypocreales; Hypocreaceae
Description: eukaryotic LSU rRNA
Rfam family: 5.8S ribosomal RNA (bases 235-388)
Source: RNAcentral
AGUAGAAGUCGUAACAAGGUCUCCGUUGGUGAACCAGCGGAGGGAUCAUUACCGAGUUUACAACUCCCAAACCCAAUGUGAACGUUACCAAACUGUUGCCUCGGCGGGGUCACGCCCCGGGUGCGUCGCAGCCCCGGAACCAGGCGCCCGCCGGAGGAACCAACCAAACUCUUUCUGUAGUCCCCUCGCGGACGUAUUUCUUACAGCUCUGAGCAAAAAUUCAAAAUGAAUCAAAACUUUCAACAACGGAUCUCUUGGUUCUGGCAUCGAUGAAGAACGCAGCGAAAUGCGAUAAGUAAUGUGAAUUGCAGAAUUCAGUGAAUCAUCGAAUCUUUGAACGCACAUUGCGCCCGCCAGUAUUCUGGCGGGCAUGCCUGUCCGAGCGUCAUUUCAACCCUCGAACCCCUCCGGGGGAUCGGCGUUGGGGAUCGGGACCCCUCACACGGGUGCCGGCCCCGAAAUACAGUGGCGGUCUCGCCGCAGCCUCUCCUGCGCAGUAGUUUGCACAACUCGCACCGGGAGCGCGGCGCGUCCACGUCCGUAAAACACCCAACUUUCUGAAAUGUUGACCUCGGAUCAGGUAGGAAUACCCGCUGAACUUAAGUAUAUCAAUAAGCGGAGGAAAAGAAACCAACCA